GACGAACGCUGGCGGCGUGCUUAACACAUGCAAGUCGAACGGAAAGGCCCUGCUUUUGUUGGUUGCUCGUUUGGCGAAGAGGGGAGUAACACGUGUGUAACCUCCCCUUGACUUUGGGAUAACUUCUGGGAACUGGGGCUAAUACCCCAUAUGAGCUCCUGCUGCAUGGUGUGGGUUGGUAAGAUUCGGCGGUUCGGGCUGGAUUCGAGGCUUCUCAGCUUGUUGGGGGGGUAGGGGCUGUCCACGGCUAUGACGGCUAGCCUGCCUGGGAGGGUGAACGGCCACAUUGGGACUGCGGUACGGCCCAGUCUGCUACGGGACGCAGCAGGGGGGAGCCUGGCACAAUGGGCGGAAGCCUGUUGCAGCAACGCCGCGUUCGGGAUGACGGCCUUCGGGUUGUAAACCGCUUUGGCCGGAGCCGAAGCGUGAGUGACGGUAAUGGGUAAAGAAGCACCGGCUAACUACGUG
Molecule: ribosomal RNA, 468 nt
Filed under: uncultured bacterium
Lineage: Bacteria
Description: partial 16S ribosomal RNA
Rfam family: Bacterial small subunit ribosomal RNA
Source: RNAcentral